RNAcentral lists this unclassified non-coding RNA (322 nucleotides) under plant metagenome. RNAcentral describes it as "partial contains 5.8S ribosomal RNA, internal transcribed spacer 2, and large subunit ribosomal RNA". The stretch from base 1 to 104 matches the Rfam family "5.8S ribosomal RNA", at positions 51 to 154 of the family's 154-position model. The record is from RNAcentral.
AAAUGCGAUAAGUAAUGCGAAUUGCAGAAUUCAGUGAAUCAUCGAAUCUUUGAACGCACAUUGCGCCCGCUAGUAUUCUGGCGGGCAUGCCUGUCUGAGCGUCAUUUCAACCCUCAUUCCCGGCUUCGUGUCGGGGAUGGUGUUGGGGAUCGGCCUCCCGGUUGCGGGCGGCCGGCCCCGAAAUAGAGUGGCGACCACGCCGUAGCCUCCUCUGCGUAGUAGUGAAAACCUCGCAGGCGGAGAGCGGUGCGGCCUGCCGUAAAACCCCCAACUCUUCUAAGGUUGACCUCAGAUCAGGUAGGAAUACCCGCUGAACUUAAGC